RNAcentral lists this ribosomal RNA (465 nucleotides) under uncultured bacterium. Its description in RNAcentral is "bacterial SSU rRNA". It matches the Rfam family "Bacterial small subunit ribosomal RNA", at positions 338 to 795 of the family's 1533-position model. The record is from RNAcentral.
CCUACGGGGCGCACCAGUGGGGAAUAUUGCACAAUGGGCACAAGCCUGAUGCAGCCAUGCCGCGUGUAUGAAGAAGGCCUUCGGGUUGUAAAGUACUUUCAGCGGGGAGGAAGGCGAUAAGGUUAAUAACCUUGUUGAUUGACGUUACCCGCAGAAGAAGCACCGGCUAACUCCGUGCCAGCAGCCGCGGUAGGACGGAGGGUGCAAGCGUUAAUCGGAAUUACUGGGCGUAAAGCGCACGCAGGCGGUCUGUCAAGUCGGAUGUGAAAUCCCCGGGCUCAACCUGGGAACUGCAUUCGAAGCUGGCAGGCUAGAGUCUUGUAGAGGGGGGUAGAAUUCCAGGUGUAGCGGUGAAAUGCGUAGAGAUCUGGAGGAAUACCGGUGGCGAAGGCGGCCCCCUGGACAAAGACUGACGCUCAGGUGCGUAAGCGUGGGGAGCGAACAGGAUUAGAUACCCUUGUAGUC